This 221-nucleotide ribosomal RNA is filed under the name uncultured bacterium. Its description in RNAcentral is "partial 16S ribosomal RNA". It matches the Rfam family "Bacterial small subunit ribosomal RNA", at positions 524 to 742 of the family's 1533-position model. The record is from RNAcentral.
AACAGAGGCCUCAAGCGUUUAGGCGGAAUCACUGGGCUUAAAGCGUGUGUAGGCGGAUCGUUAAGUGUCUUGUGAAAUCCCACGGCUCACCCGUGGAACGGCUGGGCAUACUGGCGAUCUUGGGCCAACUAGGGGCAACUGGAACAAGCGGUGGAGCGGUGAAAUGCGUAGAUAUCGCUUGGAACGCCGGAAGGUGAAAACAGGUUGCUGGGGUUGUGCCG